This is a non-coding RNA of Bos taurus (domestic cattle), 45 nucleotides long. NCBI's taxonomy places the organism in Eukaryota, Metazoa, Chordata, Mammalia, Artiodactyla, Bovidae. The record is from Rfam.
AUAAAGGUUCUAUUAAGAACCACGCACUACAUUUGGUUGUUAUUU